UAUAGAAUGUGAUACAACACAAAAAUCUUGUUUACUAAAUAAACUUGAGUGAACUGCAAUAUACAAGAGUUUUGUUAGACAAAUCUCUAAAAGAAGAAAAAGGAGUGAAGGGAAUAAAUCAAAAUCAAAUGGCUAAUCUACAUAUUUGACAAAGUUUGGAACUAUUUUUCUAAUGUGAUUAAAACUUGAUAUGGUUAAUAACUUAGGUAGCAGCUCCUCAACGUCAAGACAAUUGAAGCAUUUUAUUGCAAUGGGGCCGUAAAAUUGUUAGCAAUGAUUCCUCCUCAUCGAGUAUUCUUGGAUGUUCUUUCCAAAAGCUCGUCUCAAUUAUGUUACAGUGUUCAACAACUACUCUGUCAUUUCCUGUUGGUUCAUCCUGGGUUCAGAAGCAAAAAGUAAAAGUGAAUACCCACUCCAUCAGUUUGAUCUGUAAUAGAAGUCAAAAACAAUGGCACUUGUGUUGCAAAUGAACUUAUGUACCAAGUGUAGCUUCUGAAUACGAAGAAUACAGAUGAGACCAGGAACAAUUUAGAUGAAAACAUGUUCAUUAUGGAGUUAAUUAUCACAUUAAUGACAAGAACCAGAAAACACUUGUUAAGGUACUAUACUUGUGUUGUUUAUAUUCACGACAGAACUUUUUUGAGCACACAGUUUAUUAUCCAUAAGGUGGUAGAAACCUAAAACUAAAGGAUACAGGCUUGAUAUACAAUAUCAUCAAAAACAACAUAAAGUACUUCAAGCAAGCAUAGCAUCUUCAGUAGAGAGAGAGAGAGAGAGAUUUACUCUGUCCCGGAAAACAGAGGACCCCAUCC
RNAcentral lists this long non-coding RNA (812 nucleotides) under Solanum tuberosum (potato). Its description in RNAcentral is "long non-coding RNA (STUB_LNC004972)". The record is from RNAcentral. Lineage: Eukaryota; Viridiplantae; Streptophyta; Magnoliopsida; Solanales; Solanaceae.